This 278-nucleotide ribosomal RNA is filed under the name uncultured Desulfocapsa sp. RNAcentral describes it as "partial 16S ribosomal RNA". It matches the Rfam family "Bacterial small subunit ribosomal RNA", at positions 1103 to 1382 of the family's 1533-position model. Lineage: Bacteria; Pseudomonadati; Thermodesulfobacteriota; Desulfobulbia; Desulfobulbales; Desulfocapsaceae. The record is from RNAcentral.
CCCUAUCUCUAGUUGCCAUCAUUGAGUUGGGCACUCUAAAGAGACUGCCGGUGUCAAACCGGAGGAAGGUGGGGAUGACGUCAAGUCCUCAUGGCCUUUAUGACCAGGGCUACACACGUACUACAAUGGCCGGUACAAAGGGCAGCGACACAGCGAUGUGAAGCGAAUCCCGAAAAGCCGGUCUCAGUCCGGAUUGGAGUCUGCAACUCGACUCCAUGAAGUUGGAAUCGCUAGUAAUCGCGGAUCAGCACGCCGCGGUGAAUACGUUCCCGGGCCUU